Molecule: long non-coding RNA, 416 nt
Filed under: Suricata suricatta (meerkat)
Lineage: Eukaryota; Metazoa; Chordata; Mammalia; Carnivora; Herpestidae
Description: lncRNA (ENSSSUG00005017353.1)
Source: RNAcentral
UGCGUAAGAGGAACAGAUUGAGGGGAUGUCCAGAAGGAGCAACGGCGGGAGUCUGGACAACAGCUGAGCUGUCAACUCCAGGGGCGCACAGGGGACCCACACACCAAAUAUUUUGUUUUGCUCAGUAACUGAAAUCUGUCGCGGCGCGGCCGCCAGGGUUGGUAAACUUCAUGGGAUUGUAACUUGACUAAAGAUAAUUUGGAGAAGAGCGAAGUGAGGCGGCGUGUUUUUGGGGCUGCUGUUUGUCGAUGUGUGUAUGUGUGCGUGUAUGUAGGUGUAAGAACACACCUGCGUUCAAGGAGAUUUGGAGUGUCUGCCUGUGCGACAGCUGAGGAAGAACCGACGGGAUUUCUCUGCGGUUUGCGCUGCCUGCAUCUGAAUAAAUUCAGCUCUCAGGCAUCCGGCAGGAAACGGCU